ACUCAAAGGAAUAGACGGGGGCCCGCACAAGCAGUGGAUUAUGUGGUUUAAUUCGAAGCAACGCGAAGAACCUUACCAGGUCUUGACAUACCACGAGUAGCAUGGAGACAUGUGAUGCCCUUCGGGGCGUGGAUACAGGUGGUGCAUGGUUGUCGUCAGCUCGUGUCGUGAGAUGUUGGGUUAAGUCCCGCAACGAGCGCAACCCUUACUAUUAGUUGCUACGCAAGAGCACUCUAAUGGGACUGCCGUUGACAAAACGGAGGAAGGUGGGGAUGAUGUCAAAUCAUCAUGCCCUUUAUGACCUGGGCUACACACGUAAUACAAUGGUACUGAACAGUGGGAAGCGAAGCCGCGAGGCGGAGCAAAACCCCAAAAAGUAUCUCAGUUCGGAUUGCAGGCUGCAACCCGCCUGCAUGAAGUCGGAAUUGCUAGUAAUCGCGGAUCAUCAUGCCGCGGUGAAUACGUUCCCGGGCCUUGCACACACCGCCCGU
This 491-nucleotide ribosomal RNA is filed under the name uncultured bacterium. Its description in RNAcentral is "bacterial SSU rRNA". It matches the Rfam family "Bacterial small subunit ribosomal RNA", at positions 899 to 1397 of the family's 1533-position model. The record is from RNAcentral.